UAACUGCGAUAAGCAAUGCGAAUUGCAGAAUCCGCGAGUCAUCAGAUUUUCGAACGCAACUGGCACUAUGAGUCAAUUACUUAUAGUAAGUUUGUUUCAGUCUUUUUGAUUAUUACACACCAAAAUGUGAUUGAACUUCGGUUCUCUCAUCAAACGUGAAUACGACAUAUCUCAAUCCAACGAAGCAGUCACGGUCUACGACAGUGAUUUCGGUGGCUCUUGGACUAUGGACAGUAUAGAGACGCUAGUCUUUAAAAAUAAUCUUAAGCUGAAAUCAAACUGGAUUACCCGCUGAACUUAA
This 301-nucleotide unclassified non-coding RNA is filed under the name uncultured fungus. RNAcentral describes it as "sequence contains ITS1". The stretch from base 1 to 105 matches the Rfam family "5.8S ribosomal RNA", at positions 50 to 154 of the family's 154-position model. The record is from RNAcentral. Lineage: Eukaryota; Fungi.